This 434-nucleotide ribosomal RNA is filed under the name uncultured bacterium. Its description in RNAcentral is "bacterial SSU rRNA". It matches the Rfam family "Bacterial small subunit ribosomal RNA", at positions 28 to 446 of the family's 1533-position model. The record is from RNAcentral.
GAUGAACGCUGGCGGCGUGCUUAACACAUGCAAGUCGAGCGAAGCAGUUAAGAAGAUUCUUCGGAUGAUUCUUAACUGACUGAGCGGCGGACGGGUGAGUAACGCGUGGGUGACCUGCCCCAUACCGGGGGAUAACAGCUGGAAACGGCUGCUAAUACCGCAUAAGCGCACAGAGCUGCAUGGCUCGGUGUGAAAAACUCCGGUGGUAUGGGAUGGGCCCGCGUCUGAUUAGGCAGUUGGCGGGGUAACGGCCCACCAAACCGACGAUCAGUAGCCGGCCUGAGAGGGCGACCGGCCACAUUGGGACUGAGACACGGCCCAAACUCCUACGGGAGGCAGCAGUGGGGAAUAUUGCACAAUGGGGGAAACCCUGAUGCAGCGACGCCGCGUGAGCGAAGAAGUAUUUCGGUAUGUAAAGCUCUAUCAGCAGGGAA